RNAcentral lists this ribosomal RNA (497 nucleotides) under uncultured bacterium. RNAcentral's name for it is "partial 16S ribosomal RNA". It matches the Rfam family "Bacterial small subunit ribosomal RNA", at positions 28 to 507 of the family's 1533-position model. The record is from RNAcentral.
GAUGAACGCUGGCGGCGUGCCUAAUACAUGCAAGUCGAGCGAACAGACGAGGAGCUUGCUCCUCUGACGUUAGCGGCGGACGGGUGAGUAACACGUGGAUAACCUACCUAUAAGACUGGGAUCACUUCGGGAAACCGGAGCUAAUACCGGAUAAUAUCUUGAACCGCAUGGUUCAAUAGUGAAAGACGGUUUUGCUGUCACUUCUAGAUGGAUCCGCGCCGCAUUAGCUAGUUGGUAAGGUAACGGCUUACGAAGGCAACGAUGCGUAGCCGACCUGAGAGGGGGAUCGGCCACACGGGAACUGAGACACGGUCCAGGCUCCUACGGGAGGCAGCAGUAGGCAAUCUGCCGCAAUGGGCGAAAGCAUGACGGAGCAACGCCGCGUGAGUGAUGAAGGUCUUCGGAUCGUAAAACUCUGUUAUUAGGGAAGAACAAAUGUGUAAGUAACUAUGCACGUCUUGACGGUACCUAAUCAGAAAGCCACGGCUAACUACGUG